Molecule: non-coding RNA, 1774 nt
Organism: Cricetulus griseus (Chinese hamster)
Lineage: Eukaryota; Metazoa; Chordata; Mammalia; Rodentia; Cricetidae
Source: RefSeq, a predicted model, not a curated record
GUUCCCACCCAGCCUCAAGCAGGAAGUGCUGGUGGCUAUUGGCCAGCACAGAACUCAGGUGCCCGUGAGGUCCUGCUGCAACUCUACAGGGAGCACCUGAAGAACCCUGAUGGCCACAGCUUCCUAACCAAGGAGGAGCUGCUGCAGAAAUGUGCCCAGAAGGCCCCCCGGAUAGCUCCUGGAAGUUCCAGACCCUGGCCUGCCCUCCGAGGUCUACUCCAGAGAAACCUAGUCCUCAGAACACAUCGGCCAUCCAGGUAUGCACUGACACCAGAGGGCCUAGAGCUGGCCCAAAACCUGGCCAAGUCAGAAGGCCUGAGCACACUGAACAUUGCCAUUAGGCCAGAGGAGCCCCAUGGAGAGGAGUCAGCAGCCCCAGAAGCCACCUUGUCAGAACCUGGCACCAGUGAAGGUGUUGUCCAGCAGCCACCACUGGAGCUGAGGCCUGGCGAGUACAGAGUGCUGUUGUGUGUGGACACUGGAGAAACCAGAGGGUCGGGACACAGGCCAGAAAUGCUCCGAGAGUUACAGCGGCUGCAUGUGCCCCACACAGUACGAAAGCUGCAUGUUGGUGACUUCGUGUGGGUAGUGCAGGAGACCAGGCCCAGAGACCCAGCAAGACCUGGGGAGUUAGUCUUGGACCACAUUGUGGAACGCAAGCGGCUAGAUGACCUGUGCAGCAGCAUCAUUGACGGCCGAUUUCGGGAGCAGAAGUUCCGCCUGAAGCGCUGUGGCCUGGGGCACCGGAUAUACUUGGUGGAGGAACAUGGGUCUGUCCACCACCUCAGCCUUCCUGAGAGUACAUUGCUGCAGGCUAUCACAAACACCCAGGUCAUUGAUGGUUUCUUUGUGAAGCGUACCAUGGAUAUUAAAGAGUCAGCUGGCUACCUGGCCCUUUUGACAAAGGGCCUUGAAAGACUAUAUCAGGGCCAUACCCUACGCAGCCGCCCCUGGAAAACCCCAGGGGAUGCUGAAUCAGGAGCAAGGCCUUCUACAAACCCUCUCUGCUCACUCCUCACCUUCAGUGACUUCAAUGCAGAAGCUGUCAAGAACAAGGCCCAGUCUGUACGGGAAGUAUUCGCCCGGCAGCUGAUGCAGGUUCAUGGACUGAGUGGGGAGAAGGCAGCAGCCCUGGUGGAUCGGUACAGCACACCUGCCAGCUCUCAUGAUGCUGGCCCAGAUAAGCAGCCAUUGUAUGCCCCCUCCCUCCAGUCUCCUGGCUGCCUAUGAUGCCUGUGCCACCCCUAAAGAGCAGGAGAUGCUGCUGAGCUCUAUCAAGUGUGGGCGUCUACAGAGAAAUCUGGGACCUGCUCUGAGCAGGACCCUGUACCAGCUCUACUGCAGCCACAGUCCACUGACCUGACCUAUACCUGGAGACACACCCAAGUACCCAUCUUCACCUCUGCCAAGGCUAGCCAGCCUUUGAACUGGGAUCCUUUGGGCUAUAAUACAAGCUAAAUGUUUGUGGUCUUAGGAGUUAAGGAAGCAGUGCCAAGGUCCUUAUGAAAUAUGUAGGUACUGGGAGACUACACCUUGUAAGCCAGUGGUUUUGUUUUGUAAUAUUGGCAGUGAAACCCACAGCCUCAUGCAUGCUAGGCAAUUCCUCUUCCAUACAGCAAUGAUCUGCAGCCUUGGACAGUGUUUCCUCCCACUCCCAUCCCCUCCUAAAACCCAGCUUGGCCUAGAACAUGCUAUGUCCCCAGGCUCUCCUGGAAUUCCCAAUCUUCCUAAGUCCACCUUCCAAGUCCUGGAAUUAAAGGUGUGGACCACUAUA